This 706-nucleotide ribosomal RNA is filed under the name uncultured bacterium. RNAcentral's name for it is "bacterial SSU rRNA". It matches the Rfam family "Bacterial small subunit ribosomal RNA", at positions 778 to 1482 of the family's 1533-position model. The record is from RNAcentral.
UUAGAUACCCUUGUAGUCCACGCCGUAAACGAUGAGUGCUAGGUGUUAAGGGGUUUCCGCCCCUUAGUGCUGGAGUUAACGCAUUAAGCACUCCGCCUGGGGAGUACGGCCGCAAGGCUGAAACUCAAAAGAAUUGACGGGGACCCGCACAAGCGGUGGAGCAUGUGGUUUAAUUCGAAGCAACGCGAAGAACCUUACCAGGUCUUGACAUCCCACUGACCGCUAUGGAGACAUAGCUUUCCCUUCGGGGACAGUGGUGACAGGUGGUGCAUGGUUGUCGUCAGCUCGUGUCGUGAGAUGUUGGGUUAAGUCCCGCAACGAGCGCAACCCUUGAGAUUAGUUGCCAGCACUAAGUUGGGCACUCUAAUCUGACUGCCGGUGACAAACCGGAGGAAGGUGGGGAUGACGUCAAAUCAUCAUGCCCCUUAUGACCUGGGCUACACACGUGCUACAAUGGAUGGAACAAAGGGGAGCAAAACCGCGAGGUCAAGCAAAUCCCAUAAAACCAUUCUCAGUUCGGAUUGCAGGCUGCAACUCGCCUGCAUGAAGCCGGAAUCGCUAGUAAUCGUGGAUCAGCAUGCCACGGUGAAUACGUUCCCGGGUCUUGUACACACCGCCCGUCACACCACGAGAGUCGGUAACACCCGAAGUCAGUGAGGUAACCAUUUGGAGCCAGCCGCCGAAGGUGGGACCAAUGAUUGGGGUG